GAAAAUUCUUUGAUUUUUUAGGUAGAUCAAAAUGAAGUGUUGCUUCAAUUGUCGCUGAGGUUGAAACCCACCACCUACUAAAGAAACUGCAUGUGUAUUCAUUCGGGGAAUUAUAAUGUUAAAGGAAAGAUCAAAAACUUCAUGCUCAAUCAUAUGACUAUUGUUUUCUGAAGAGGUGAAGGACCAAAUGUAAAGAAGAUUGAAGGACUUUUACUCAUGUACGAACAAAUAUGAAGUCGAUUGAGUUUCUCUUUGUCAUGAUGAUCUUCAAAAUGCAACUUAGUUUGUCGAACAGGCUGGUGGGGGUUAUGUAGAAAACCCUUUAAAUUAUAUAUUUAUCGAUGAGAAAUAGAUUAAAAAGCAUUAUUAUUGAUAUUAUUUGAUAUUUCCCUUUUUUUCUAUAUCGAAUAAAUUAAAUGGUUAUUUCCCAAA
Molecule: non-coding RNA, 432 nt
Organism: Solanum lycopersicum (tomato)
Lineage: Eukaryota; Viridiplantae; Streptophyta; Magnoliopsida; Solanales; Solanaceae
Source: RefSeq, a predicted model, not a curated record